This 440-nucleotide ribosomal RNA is filed under the name Sphingorhabdus wooponensis. RNAcentral's name for it is "bacterial SSU rRNA". It matches the Rfam family "Bacterial small subunit ribosomal RNA", at positions 338 to 795 of the family's 1533-position model. The record is from RNAcentral. Lineage: Bacteria; Pseudomonadati; Pseudomonadota; Alphaproteobacteria; Sphingomonadales; Sphingorhabdaceae.
CCUACGGGAGGCAGCAGUGGGGAAUAUUGGACAAUGGGCGAAAGCCUGAUCCAGCAAUGCCGCGUGAGUGAUGAAGGCCUUAGGGUUGUAAAGCUCUUUUACCAGGGAUGAUAAUGACAGUACCUGGAGAAUAAGCUCCGGCUAACUCCGUGCCAGCAGCCGCGGUAAUACGGAGGGAGCUAGCGUUGUUCGGAAUUACUGGGCGUAAAGCGUACGUAGGCGGUUAUUCAAGUCAGAGGUGAAAGCCUGGAGCUCAACUCCAGAACUGCCUUUGAAACUAGAUAGCUAGAAUCUUGGAGAGGCGAGUGGAAUUCCGAGUGUAGAGGUGAAAUUCGUAGAUAUUCGGAAGAACACCAGUGGCGAAGGCGACUCACUGGACAAGUAUUGACGCUGAGGUACGAAAGCGUGGGGAGCAAACAGGAUUAGAUACCCUGGUAGUC